RNAcentral lists this ribosomal RNA (492 nucleotides) under uncultured bacterium. RNAcentral's name for it is "partial 16S ribosomal RNA". It matches the Rfam family "Bacterial small subunit ribosomal RNA", at positions 30 to 507 of the family's 1533-position model. The record is from RNAcentral.
AUUGAACGCUGGCGGCAUGCCUUACACAUGCAAGUCGAACGGCAACACGUCUACAGAUUCUGCCUACGGGCGGCCGGUGGCGUAAGGCUGCGGAACGUACCCAAACCUACUUUUUCCUGGGGGAUAACGUUGGUAAAAUUCCGCUCAUACCGCAGACGACCUCAGGGUGCCACCAGGAGUUGUUCGUUUCUUGCGGCCGUGGAUGAGCCGAUGUCGGAUUAGCUAGUUGGCGGGGUAAAGGCUCACCAAGGCGACGAUCCGUAGCUGGUCUGAGAGGAUGAUCAGCCACACUGGAACUGAGACACGGCCCAGACUCCUACGGGAGGCAGCAGUGGGGAAUUUUGGACAAUGGGCGAAAGCCUGAUCCAGCCAUGCCGCGUGGGGGAUGAAGGCCUUCGGGUUGUAAAGCGCUUUUGUUGGGAAAGAAAGGCAGCAGGUUAAUACCUCGCGGAUCUGACGGUACCGAAAGAAUAAGCACCGGCUAACUACGUG